AGGACGAACGCUGGCGGCGUGCUUAACACAUGCAAGUCGAGCGAGGCCCUUCCUUCGGGAAGGUGCCCUAGCGGCGAACGGGUGAGUAACACGUGGGCAACCUGCCCCUAGCACUGGGAUAAGCCCGGGAAACCGGGUCUAAUACCGGAUAUGACCUUCGAGGGCAUCCUUGAAGGUGUAAAGGAUUCUGGCUAGGGAUGGGCCCGCGGCCUAUCAGCUUGUUGGUGGGGUAAUGGCCUACCAAGGCGACGACGGGUAGCCGGCCUGAGAGGGCGACCGGCCACACUGGGACUGAGACACGGCCCAGACUCCUACGGGAGGCAGCAGUGGGGAAUCUUGCACAAUGGGCGAAAGCCUGAUGCAGCGACGCCGCGUGAGGGAUGACUGCCUUCGGGUUGUAAACCUCUUCAGCAGGGACGAAGCGAAGUGACGGUACCUGCAGAAGAAGCACCGGCCAACUACGUGCCAGCAGCCGC
RNAcentral lists this ribosomal RNA (476 nucleotides) under uncultured bacterium. RNAcentral describes it as "SSU rRNA". It matches the Rfam family "Bacterial small subunit ribosomal RNA", at positions 26 to 518 of the family's 1533-position model. The record is from RNAcentral.